AAUAGAUACCCCGGUAGUCCACGCCGUAAACGAUGGAUGCUAGCUGUUAUGCGUAUCGACCCGUGUAGUAGCGAAGCUAACGCGUUAAGCAUCCCGCCUGGGGAGUACGAACGCAAGUUUAAAACUCAAAGGAAUUGACGGGGACCCGCACAAGCGGUGGAGCGUGUUCUUUAAUUCGAGGCUAAGCGAAGAACCUUACCAGGGCUUGACAUCCUUGGAAUUUCUCCGAAAGGAGAGAGUACUUUAUUGGACCAAGUGACAGGUGCUGCAUGGCCGUCGUCAGCUCGUGUCGUGAGAUGUUUGGUUAAGUCCAUUAACGAGCGCAACCCUUAUGAAUAGUUGUAUUUUUUCUAUUCAGACUGCCCCGGUAACGGGGAGGAAGGGGGGAUGAUGUCAGGUCAGUAUUGCCCUUACGCCCUGGGCUAGAAACGCGCUACAAUGGCCGGUACAAUGCGCUGCCAACCCGCGAGGGGGAGCAAAUCGCAUCAAAGCCGGUCCCAGUUCGGAUAAGAGGCUGAAACUCGCCUCUUUGAAGCCGGAAUCGCUAGUAAUCGU
This 555-nucleotide ribosomal RNA is filed under the name uncultured bacterium. Its description in RNAcentral is "bacterial SSU rRNA". It matches the Rfam family "Bacterial small subunit ribosomal RNA", at positions 777 to 1345 of the family's 1533-position model. The record is from RNAcentral.